Orbicella faveolata is the source of this 442-nucleotide long non-coding RNA. RefSeq lists it as uncharacterized. The record is from RefSeq and is a predicted model, not a curated record. Lineage: Eukaryota; Metazoa; Cnidaria; Anthozoa; Scleractinia; Merulinidae.
UACGGAAUUUUAGCUAAUCCACGAAGCAACCUACCACCUCCUAGAAACAUUUGAUGUCGAAAAUAAUCGACGAAACUGGAAAUAAAACUGACCGUACAAGAUGAUGACGACGUCAACCAAUUAUGAGACAACAUUCCAUGUACAUUCCCGGUCGAGAAACAAGUCGACGCUAAUCUUAUACUGCCUGACCUCUUGUAGGUGCUAAUGUAAGCCUGCAGACGUUUUGUAGUUUCCUGUACGCUUAUACUAAGAAAAAAAAACGCUUUACAAAAGAAUUAAAAAUUACCUUGUAAAUGUGCUUGCUUAAGUUUCUGAUUUUUCCAGUACCGAAACACUCUCUUGCCAGAUGGCAUGGGCCUUGUGCCUUGCGCGAACAGACAAGCCACAUGCACAGAUGAUGACCCUACGGUAAUGGACGCCAACUCAGCGCUUUCACACCAAU